Molecule: long non-coding RNA, 226 nt
Organism: Centruroides sculpturatus (bark scorpion)
Lineage: Eukaryota; Metazoa; Arthropoda; Arachnida; Scorpiones; Buthidae
Exons: 3
Source: RefSeq, a predicted model, not a curated record
GAUUAUAGAAACGAAUAGUGAAUGUCUACCAUGAUGAUGUUGAAUUGUGAAAAUAUUAAACCUACGUACAAAAUGUUUAUGUCAUUAAUAAUUUAUACAAAGAGAAAAAUACAUGUAUACUCGGUUUUGGAAUAUGUAUUUACAUUUAUGGUAGUAGUACUGCUGAUGAGGGGCAUGCUAGCCCGAAACACAAGUGAUAAGUGUACAGAAACUAUUACAACAGGUG